Molecule: long non-coding RNA, 36238 nt
Filed under: Physcomitrium patens
Lineage: Eukaryota; Viridiplantae; Streptophyta; Bryopsida; Funariales; Funariaceae
Description: long non-coding RNA (PPAT_LNC011785)
Source: RNAcentral
GGUUUGGUUAGGAUUUGGUUUAAGGUUUAGGAUUUAGGAUUUCGUUUAGGAUUUGAUUUAGAAUUUAGGAUUUGGAUUAGGAUUUGGAUUAGGAUUUGGAUUAGGAUUUAGGAUUUGGUUUAGGAUUUGGUUAGGGAUUGAUUUAAGGUUUAGGAUUUGAUUAAGGUUUGAUUAGGAUUUGGUUUAGGAUUUAGGAUUUGUCUAGGAUUUGAUUAAGGUUGGACUAGGAUUAGGGGUUGGUUAGAAUUUAAGGUUUUAUUAGAUUUUUGUUAGUAUUUGACUAAUUUUUCUUUGAUAUUCUUUCAUAUUUCUUUAGGAUUUCUUUGUGUUUCUUUUAUAACUUCAAUAAAAUUUAAUUGAGCUUGCUUAAUAUUUGAUUAUGAUUGUUAACAUUUAAUUGUAAAUUCUUUAUAAUCCUAUUGGAUUGUUAGGAUAUUUUUUUGCAAUUUUUUUUUACCUUCCACAAUCAGGUGCUCAGUGCAUUUUCAAACAAGACUUCACGUUAUACGACAUAUUUGGUGAACCCGACGUGAAAAACUUGAGGUAGGAGAUAUUUGGAGUUUCUUUGAUCUAUGUGGGUUAUGGAGAAGGAAGGAAAGAGAAUGGAAGGAGGAGCUUUUGGUGGUGCUUCAAGUAGAGUUGGAAGUGGAGCUUCAAUUGAAAGACAAGGUAUGUAUUUUGAUCUCAACUAUGCAAGCAUGUUUGAGGUAUUGGCCUUAUUCAUGCAACAACAAUAAGUUAAAGAUCGCAAAGAGGGCAUGGUAGAUAAAGCAUUACAAGCUGUUGUAGACAAGAUUGAUCAAUUUGAAGGGAAGGAUAUUACAAAAUAUUUAAGGUGUUACGUAAAAAAAAUGGAAUUGUAGUAUAUUUCAGAGAAGGAGAUGGUUCAGCUAUUUGAAUUGGUUAUUGCACCAGAAAUAAGAAAUCAUGUAAAAUCCAUUAUAGGACAUUUUGGAGGUUCAUGGAAAAAAUUAUCUCAAGCAUUAAAGGAUGAGUAUUUUUUAGAAGAUAGUGACCGAGUUAUAAAGAAGUCAUUCUUUGAAUGGAUUGAAAGGCCUAAGAAGGAUCUACUAGCAAUGGAGUUACUAAGGGAGUUUAAAAAGCAAUAUUCUUAUUUAUCAAAGAAGGAGAGGUAAUUAUUAGAUCCAAGUAAAGUGGAGCUUUUUCUUCAAGCGACUAAUGUAGAGUUGCAAGAGAAGUUGGAAAUUUUGCUGGAAAAUAAAGAAGAAGUUGAAGGAUUGACAAAAAAUUGGGAGAAAGUAGAAGAGGCAAUUGGGGUACUUGCGAAAAGAGAAAGGAGAAAAGAUAGGAUAGAAAUUCAAAGACUAUUGCAAGCAUCUAAAGGAAAAAUGCCUGCUAUCUAUCCUACAUCUAUCAUUCAACCUUCAAUGGCUACAUCAAAGAGAGUAGAAAUGGACAUUGAUAAAAUCAUACGAGGGAUGAGAGAUUUGCAAAUAAAAUUUAUAAAACUUGAAGAGAUCAGUCAAUCAUCAAGAAUAUCAACAAGACAAAAUUUAAGACCAAUAGAAAGUAUGGUACAAAUCAUGAAAAAAAUAGGGAUAGUUUGAGGGAACAUCCUUUGCCAAAGAUACAUAAAGAAUUUAAAGAUCUUGAAGACUCAAAGGAUUUUUACUAGAUGCCAUUGUAAAGCAGAAUUGCAAUGGUAAAAAGAGUGAAGGCUUCCCGCCUAAUAGAAAGGAUGAAGAUAUUGUAGGAUUAUCGCAAGACGGAUAUAUUUUAUUCAAAAACAUAAAUAAUUUUAGUAGGAUAGAUAAGAAAAAUGUUAAGAAUAUAGAACAGGGAUUAAAGAAAUGUGGAAUAAUUGGUGAAGAUGAAUACAUUUCAGGGAUGUUUGAAGAAUCUAGUUUUGGUGAUACUAUGAAUGAUUUACAAAUAUUAUUGAAUGAAGAUUUUGAAAGAGGUAAUAAAGUAAUAAAUAUCUAUUCUAAGAAAUUUUAUGAUGGAAUAAAAGAAUAUAUGGAUAGAUAUGAAGUGAAGGUGAACAAAAAAUAGAAGACUGUUGCAAAGAAGAUUAAACCAAUGGCAUUGCCACUACCAUCAAAUUUUGAAGAAAGAAUUAAAAGGGCUUUUAUGCAACCUAAUUUAAGAGAUGUAAGGAAAAUAGGCCAUGAAUUCAAGGAUAAUUUGAUGUUAGAUGGUUUGAAAAUUGGAUGUGAUAAAUUGGAUGUGAAAAAGGCCCAUUUGCCAAAGCUAGUUGAAUUAUUCAAUGAAAAAAUUAAGAUGGGAAUUUUAGAACCAUCUAUUGCACCAUAUUCCAAUCGGUAGUUCAUAGUACCUAAAAAAAAUGGAACAUUGAGGUUUAUUCAAGAUAUGCAACGAGUAAAUAAAAAAACUAUUAAAAACAUAGGCUCAAGUUCAAUUGUGGAUGAGUUUGUAGAGGCAUUUGCAGGGAGAUCAAUUUAUUCUAUAAGAGAUCUUUACUCAGGAUACGAUCAAUUUCAAUUGGCAAUGCAAAGUAGAAAUUUGACAACUAUGAAGAUACCAUUGGGAUUGGUUAGAAUAUGUACAUUACCACAAGGGGCUACAAAUUCUGUGGCACACAUGAUGAAUGGAAUGCAUAAGGUACUAUGAGAUUUCAUUUGAAGAAUAAUAAUGCCUAUUCUAGAUGAUGUGCCAAUUAAGCGAUGUGAAGAAAAAAAAAAGGAUGAGAUAUUGGAUUCAAAGGGAUAUAGGAAGUUUGUGGCAGAUCAUAUUGAUGAUUAUGAGAAGAUUUUGAUAAGGCUAGAAGAAGUUCAUUUAAUCUUAUGAGGGACAAAAUCAAUAUUUGGAAUAAAAGAAGUUUUGGUAGUAGGGCACAUGUGUGGUUCAUAUGGAUGUAAACCAAGUAGGAAAAAAUUUGAUAUUAUAAAAAAAAUGAAAGAGUGUGUAAAUACAACAGAAGUCAGGAGGUUUUUAAGAGCAUGUAUUUUCUAUCAUAUAUAGAUACCUCAUUUUGUACAUAUAGCAAAUUUAUUAUAUGAGUUGUUACAAAAGAAUAAAAAAUUUCAAUGGAAAGAAGAACAAAGAAAAGCUAUAGUAAAGUUAAAAGAAUUUCUUUCUUCACUUCCAACUUUGAAGAAAGUAAAUUAUGAAUGUGGAAGGCCAGUAACAUUAACAGUUGAUGCAAGUCCAAUUGGAGUAGGUUGGACAGUUGGACAAGAUGAUGAACAAGAGAAUACAUAUGUAGUAAGGUUUGGAGCAAAGAUUUUGAAUGCUAGACAAAGGAUAUAUGCACAAAUCAAAAGAAAAUUAUGGAGUAUAUUAAUAGCUAUGAAAAAUAAAAGGGAGUAUUUGAUUGGUGCAUCAAUAGUUGUUGAAACAAAUUGUCUACCUUUAUUGAAUAUGAUUACAAGUUAUUCAACUUCCAAUAUUGCUAUAUUAAGGUGGAUGGCAUAUAUCAAAUCUAUAAAUCUAGAAUUUAAACAUAUUACAGGAAAAGAAAAUUCAAUCGUAUAUAUGUUAUCAAGAGCAAGGUAUUACGAUGAAGAAGAUAUGAUAGAUUUAGAAGAUGAUGUGGGUACAAAUUUUUAUACUAAUGGAUUAUCAAAGGAAGAAAGUAUAUGUUUGAAUAUACCAUUAGAAACAUUUUCAAGAGAUCUAUAUGAAGAAGAAUGGAAAGACAUUGAGGAGUAUUUAAGCACAUUAAAGUGACAAGAUAGUUGGACAGAUCAAGAAUUUAAGAAAAUUUGAAAGAAAGCCUAUGGAUAUUUUUUACAUGAUGGAUAUUUAUGGAAGUAUCGAAAGAAGAGAGGAGAAGUACCACAACGAGUGAUAUGUGGUUUAGAAGCUCAACAAAAGAUUAUUAAGAAAUUUCAUGAAAGUUUAUGGACAAGGCAUCGAGGUAUUUGGACAACAUUUAUUAAGUUGAAAGAAAAAUAUUGGUAGAAGGGCAUGUAUAGGGAUGUGGCGGAUUUUUUAGGAUCUUGUGAAACUUACCAAAUAUAUUCAAAUAUUCAUCAUCGAGAUGGUUUACAUCCUUCAUAUCCAUUAGUAAUUCAUUAUAAAUGGGUGGUUGAUUUAGUUGUAAUGCCAAUGGGAUUUGGUCAAAGGAAAUAUUUGGUACUUGCUUGGGAAGAUUUGACAAAUCAAGUAGAGGGAAGAGCACUUUCAACAAAGACUACAAAAGGAGUAUGUCGGUUUAUUUUAGAAGAAAUUAUUUGCCGGUAUGGAUGUAUUGGAAAAAUCACUGCAGAUAGAGGAGAAUUGGAUGCAAAUGAAGCAUGAGAGUUCUUUGGAAGGAUGGGUAUUAAACUUGCAUUGUCAACAGCAUAUAAUCCGGAAGAGAAUGGCAAGAGUGAACGUGGACAUUUUCUGAUUAUUAAAGCAUUGAUUAAAGCAUGCAAAGGUAAGAUAAGUGAUUGAUCUAAAUUAUUACCAUUUAUAUUAUGGGAAAAUCGCACAACUCAUAGUACAAUUAUAAGAUACAUGCCAAUAAAAUUGAUAUAUGGUGAAAAACGGAUAAUGCCAAUAGAAGAGGUUGUAUCAACAUGGACUAUAUUAGCUUGAGAAGAUGGUUUAACAAGAGAAGAGUUAUUGGCAUUACAAAUUUGACAACUUGAAAGAAGGCUCAAGGACAUUGAAGUAGCUAUGAAAAAGUUGAAAGAAGCGAGAGAAAAAAACAAGGAGAGAUUUGACAAAAAGCAUCGAUUGCAUCCAAAAUCAAUUCAAAAUGGUGAUUGGGUGUUAGUUUAUAAUAGUAGUUUGGACAACCAACAUAGUACGGUAAAGAAAUUUACAAGGAGAUGGUUUGGACCUUAUGUUAUCAAACAAGUGCACAAGAAUGGAACAUACUUGUUAUGAGAACUGGAUGGUAUAGAUUUAAAGAUACCAAUAGCAGGCAAACAAAUCAAAUUGUUUAAUCAAAGAGAUAAAGACAUUUGUUUUGAUGAAGAACAAAAUCUAAUAAGAGAUAUUGAGAUGGAAGAAAAAAAAACAAAAUAAAGAUCAAGAAUUUGACUAAGAUGAAGAACAUUCGAUAUCAAUAUAAUGAAAGAACUUGCUGCAUACGAGAGGACGCACAGGUUCAAGGGGGGUGGAUGUCAUGAUGUAACAUCGUUAACAAGUGAAAGGAUGAAGAAAAUAUCAUGUUUUGAGGAUCUCACUUCAAAAAUAUUGUAGCAAAUUAUCUUGGAAAAAUAGAUAUUAGUCAAAGGGUAGAAAAAUUAAAGGUGCUAAUGCUGCUUUUUUACAAAUUAUGCUUCUAUUUACUUUGUAAGGCCAUUAAUAAGACAAAAUAAGGUAGAUUAGAAAAAUAAAGAAUAGAGGCAUAUGUAGAGAGGAGUUAGGAGUGCAAAUUAGUAACAAUUACCUCAAGAAGACAAAAGUUGAUACCCAAAGAAGACCGGUUAUGAACCUGGGUCGAAAUCAGACCCCAAAGAACAAAACCGCACUCUGAUGGCGACUCAAGGGUUCUUUGGGAGAUCGGAGAGCGGAAUUAGGGAAAAGACUUGUGGAUGGAUUUUUGAAAGGUAAUUUCGUGUCGUUUGGAUUAGUAUUGGAUUUUUGAAGGAUUUUCAAAGCGAGUGAUGUUCUCUGUGAAUUCAGAUCUUUAAGAAAUAAAACCAGUUUACAAAUUUUUGGAUUUCGUGACUUUUGUAGCAUUUUUACAGGUAAAAAUUUAGAAACUUAUUGGUAUGCUUGUUGUAAAUGUGUAUAAGAGAUUUGAGGUCAAUCAAAUAGGAGUGGAAGUUGGCAUUAAGAUAGGAGAAGGAGAGACCAGUCGACAUCUGAGCGGAAUUUUGAGGUCAUCGAUUAAUUGAUAAGUGCGAUUUUCUUCAAAAUUUGUGAGCUAGUUUCUAAAUUAAACCCCAAAAAUUGUACAAAUUUUGAAUUAGAAUCAAUAGUUCAAUCUUUCAUUAUUUUAUUUUCAAAUUUAUAAUUAGAGUUUGUGUAGACGAAGUAGUUAUUUUCAGAAUGUAGAUACCUAGUAUAUAGUGUAAACAGGGAUAGAUAACUGUUGAAAAGGUGGUUCAGUAGGUAGAAUGGAUGAAUAGUCAGGAAAAGUAGUUAUCAUCUGUAGUAUAGGAGUUGGUAUCUCAGGAUAGUAUAAGGAGGAUGGGAGAGGGGAAGAAAAUGUCAGACUGUGAGAGUCGUAAGCCAAGGAUCAGACUGCGAUAGUACUGAGCCGAGGAUAAGCUUGGUGCUAUUUCUUCUUUUUAGUUUUCUUGUUUCUUUUGUGUUAGUGUUGAUUCUAGUGAAGAGAAUCAAUUUAAUGAAUUAAUGUUUGAUUUACAAAGUUGUUUAUGGAUCACUGUUUAUCAAUUGUUGUGAAAGAUUGAGGACGUAUGGAAGUUUCCAGUCACUAUUUAUCGCAAGGUUGUAAGUUUAGUAGAGAGGAAUUGUAAUUGAAGGAAUUGUCUUGAUGAGAUUUUGUGGAUUGAAAUUUAUUCAUUCUAAGGUUUGGAAUAUAUUUAUGUGUUCAUGAAUUACACAGGGUACUAAAAUCGUUGUCAUGGAUGUUAUUGUAUUGAUAUGAGAGAGUGGACAAUAGGAAGAAAAGUUAAGUGUUCUUUAAUAUGGUAAGCAUUCAGCAGUAGCGGUUAAUUGCGUGAUCCUAACAAUUGGAGCUCAUAUACAUGGUCUUUCCCUGUGUUCGAAUAUCCCCCAUACGAAUUUAUUUUGGGAGGUUUCUUUCGAAAUAAGUAAAAUGAGCAAUCACAUUUUGGCGCCACUGCUAGGGAUUGACAACAUUAUUGAGUGUUAGGAAUUAACUGUCGAAGCAGUAAAGGAGAUUAGGAAGCAAACUCAGUAGAAAUAAUGAAAGAAUAUGGUUAUUAAGAAUGAGAAUUUAACAGCAAAGAGAAUUCAGCAAUCAAAGGAAAAAACAGAGCGAUCGCAAGCAAGAAAUUUGUUACGUAAUGAGCAAGAUUAUAAAUUAAAAAAGAAGCAUCAACAAAGUUGGAUUAAGCCGUGGUUGCAUGCCUGUCGGCAUAUUCAAUCGUAUCCAGAAGAUGAUCAACCUCUAAUAUUUCAGAAGUACAUAUCGUUAAAAAAAUUGCCAAGAGCAAUCAUGGGGAGUGGUGCUAAUAGUCCAGCAAACCUCUCAAAGCCAUUAAAACAAGGAAGGUACAAAGGAAUUAGGUACCCCACUGGGUAUCUUUUCAAUUGAAAAUACAUCCAAUCCUAACAAGACUGGUUUUAAAGAUUGGCAUAGAUCACUUGCCAAUAAAGACCAAUUCAGAGUAUAUCAAAACUUGUUAUUUUCACCUCAUAUUCAACUAGUAAAAUUAUUUGGGGAGAAUAACAGUCAAUGGGGAAGGCCUCGAAGUCCGAAAAAGACUUUUGCGAGAGACAGUUUUUAUUUUAAUAAGAAAUUGAGCAGAACACCACCAUCUUUAAUGAUAUUUGGAGGACCAGCAGUUCUGAUUGUAGUUCAAAUGGGUGUAGUGGGCGAUCGAACGACUAGCAUCGUACCAUUGCCUACUUUUUGGGGUUUGCCAGGUGCGGAUCUAGAUCAAUAUUUGUCUCAAUUUUUGAUGGCAUGUGUAGCCAAUAAUAGAAAAAUAGAAGAUAUUUAGCUGAGAUGGCUAUGAGCGACAUUGAAAGACACAGCGUUUGAGUGAUACAACCGCCAACCUGUGGGACAAUUUAUCAAUUGGGAGGCAUUGAAAAAUAUAUUUUUAGCCCAUUUUUGAUCAAUUGGUUUUAAAAAACGUCUUAGAAAAAAAUUAAUAAACAGUAAAAUGGUACCAGGGAAAGCGGUACAGUCAUAUUAUAGUCGUGUAGCAGAUAUACUUCAAAAAUGGCUAAAUAACCAAAUGUCGAAAUCAUUUGUAUUGUCCAUAUUGGUUAAUGGACUAUACCCACCACAAUUAAAAAUGUUUGUAAAGGAGGCCCAAUCAGCUACCAUUACAUCAUCUCUUGAACGAGCAAAAGUAUGGAAGGAAUGUCAUUAUGAUCAGAACUUAACAGUUGGAGCCACGAUGAUUCCAUCUCAAGGAGGUUAUCAAAUGACAAAUUGGAAUGACGCAUCGGAAAGUUAUCUAGGAAGGAAUGAUUAUCGUACAAUUCCACAGGGAAUAGUGGAUGCCGUUCCAUUACAAGCUGUACCACUAUCAUCAUCACAACCGUAUGCACCUUAUUCCGCGUUUCAGAAACCAAUACCUACAAAGGAAUUGCCAAAUGUAUUAGUAUCAAAAGAUCCCAAUGAGUCAUUGCUAUUAACAUUGAGGAAAAAAAUAGAUGAAUUGGCUGUGAAUCUGGCCAAAGAUAAGGAAAAAAGGCAUAAACCAACCAAUAUGCGUCCCAAUGUCUAAUGCAGCAAUUAUAAGGGGCAAGGUCAUUUAGUAAUAGAAUAUCCUUCACCACCUCAAAUGACUGUACAAUGUACCUUUUGUGGGAGUAAGCAUAUUACCACCAACUGUUGGAAUUUACGGAAGCAACAACAACUCAGUAACCAGAUAAUGACUCAACCAACUUCGUGGGAUGUCAAUCAAGUAUAGACAAAUAAUAGGUUUGGCUGGAAUGGAAAUCGAGCGAAUAAACAAAAUAGGAAUUAUUUUAAUUUCUUCAACUCUGAAUUUUACUAAAAAAGUCUAUCUUAUACUCACGGAUUGGCGAUAAACCAACCAAGUUACCAUCAAUAUCCAUCCAUGACAAAACCAAUGCCAGAUUCUACAGUAACAAUGGGUCAAUCAAGAUCUUUUACUCAUUCGACAUGAAAUAGACCUAGCCGUUAUAUACCAGUAGAAACACCCAUUAUCCCUGAAGGAAUUGGCAGGAGACCACUUUCUUGCUAUCGUUGCAAAUAAAUCAGACAUUAUACGUAUGAAUGUCCUAAUCCAAGGGCCAAUGAUGAAUAUGCUCUAAUAUGUAGAAAUUGUAAGCAGUUUGGUCACACUUAUCAACAGUGCAAUGUACUCUUUAAUUAUAAUAACCGGGACCAGCAAAUGCAAACAAGCCAACCGGUGGAGGACAAAGGCCCUGUUCAAUGAGACUCACUAGUACAUCGUGUUGAGGUGGUGAAUGUAGUGCUUACUAGAGGCCAACAAAAAGACAAGAAUCUAAUUCAAGACAUAGAUGAACUAAUCGCAGGAGAACAAGUAGCACCGUCCACGGAGCUAAAUGAACCAAUAUCAGUAUUGGGACGUAUCCCAAUAUUGAGACCUCAACAAACUGAGGAACUCAAUUCGGUUCCACGUGCUAAUUUUUCGGGACCAUCCAAUCCAGGUCUUGUUACGGGCUUUGUAUUCAGUAUGAGACCUGACUCGGUGGCGCAACCCAAUGAGGUCCCAAUUAUGGAGGCUUUGCUUCUAUUCCAAGCAGUUUUAAUAUCUACGCAAUUUUGAGAAAUGUGCUAUCUGUUGAAAGAUCCUCUCGUGGGUGGAAAUUCCAAGGAAUUUCUAGCUGCUGUUCCAAUUUUGAGUCUAGGGCAGAAGAAUAUCUUACUUCAUGGAUUAAAAUCGAAACCAAUGAAACGCAAAAGAUCAUUAGAAAUUACUCUCAAUAUGGAACCCUACGACAUUCUGAGGGAUUUGGAUGUUAUUCAGCCUUCAAUUACAAUGAAGCAACUUUUGGCUGUAGCACCGGAAUGUCGAUCUAUAUUGAAUUCAGCGUUAAUACGAUGAAGAUUCUACACUAAAGAAAUUCAUGAAGUUAGCUUAAACCCAGAUCCAGGAGCACCAACAAUCGAUGUAUCAAUCGAUGGCAUUUUAAUUCCAUGGAUACAAGUCGACAGUGGCUCUAGUGUGAAUAUAAUGAAUACGGUGUCAUGUUGUAACACGAGUAUACCGUGAAAAUAUAAAGAAAGGGGAUUUUUAUUAAUAUUCAGUUACCUCAAAUAUUGGGAACAACGACCAAUUCUAGUACAAAUACUGAGUGGCCAGGUUCAGUCACCCCGUUAUAGUCAGCCGGGACAUAUUGAAAUGCUCCGUUUGAUUCCAAUAACGGGAGUCAGCAGGAAGGACAAGGACCAAUUCAAUGACGGGUGAGCUUGGUUCGAAGAGCCAAUUGGAUCCAAUUUCAAGACAUCCAAUUCAGGUCCUAUUACAGGCUUUUUAUCCAAUAUGAGACCUGACUUGGUCGGGCAACCCAAUGUGGUCCAAUUACGGGAACAUCCAGGUCUUACUACAGAUCUCUUAGUCAAUAUGAGACCUGAAUUAGUCGAGCGACUCAAUGUGGUCUCGAUUACGGGGUUUGGAUUCUAUUUCAUGCUAUCUUGUUCUCUGUGCCAUUUCAGGGAACGUUGUUUUCGGUAAAAGGAUCUCUAAAAGAUAAAAACAAAGGAGAGAACUUUGAGGACGGAGCCAAUUCCGGAUCUAAGACGGAAGAUUGAAGAAAUUCAGAGGCUAGGAUUUGAGAGAGGAGAGAAUUAGGGUUAAAGGAGAGGAUAGGUUAAGAAAUGGAGGGAGGAGAAUAAGUUUUUUUAAGAAGGGUCGGAGAGCAAGCUUCAUGCUUCGGAGCGGGAAAAAAAGAUAGAGAAUUGGGUUUUUUUUUUCUUCAUAGGGUUUUAACAAGACUGAGGUAAUCGUUGCUGAAGUCAGUGUUGUACUAGAGAAUCAGGAUUUUAAUGAAGUGGGUAUGAUUACUCUUGAUUGUUUCAUGAAAUCGAAUUACAUCUAUGAUGAAGAAUUAAAAGGGUAUCUAUAGGAUUGAGUAUGCGGAGUGAAUGAAAUUUAUUGGAUUAAUCUAAUAAGACAGUUAGUGGAUACAAGAUCAUGAGUAUAAAGCGGUAUCAAAGAUUAGCAGUUUGAGUUGUUCGGGGUUCUCUCUAACGUUGUCGUAUUACAUAUUGUCUUGUUCGGGAAUACACUGGGUAUCUGGCUGUAGAAGGUAAAGUUGUUUUUGCAAAAAACAAAGAAACUCUAAUAGAUUUUAUCCAUGUAUGAAGAAUAUAAUUGAAAUAUCAAUUUCCAAGUAUUUAAAAACACUCAUAGUCAUUUUAACCAUACAAUAUUCCAAUUGCUUUAUUUCUUUUAUAAUUAAGUUGUUUUUUUUUUUCUUAAUAAGCCCUAAUCCUAGCCAAUGAGCUUUGACAAGCUGUAACUUUUGAUCCAACCGUCCACUUAGUAUGAAAUUUUGCACUCAAAUACCAGUAUAAGCCUUCUAGAUGCUCAAAAAAUUUCAGCCCAACCCAACUUACAGAUUGCAAGAAAACGCCCAAAAACCGCACUCAUGACACUUGGCUGCAACCUUGAAAUUUGAUAUAGAAACUCUAGAAGUGAUUUCUCCUUUGUCAACCGUUAACUCCAACUCAAAAUUGAAUAGCUGCUUGAUCUCCAAAGCUUCUAUUACUAAGCCAAAAAUUACGUUGAUCCAAUUGGUAGAUCUUCAGAUAUCACAGAAAUCCUAUCCAAUCCUAGACUACCAACUUCCGACAACCCUUUGUACUAAAACCCAGAUAUCUCUUGAUUUCAUUGUUAAAUUAACACAAAUUUUUGUAUACAGUUAGCACACCCAACUAUUCAGACAAUACCAAAUUUUGAUCCAUAGAUGCUAAACGACUUGCACAAACCGAUUGAGAAUGCAAACCAUCAAUGUUUUACAUAAAAUCCGAAGCACCAAAAUAAACACUGACUUUGAGCAGCGAUUGCUCUCCACUUACAAAUCCUAAUGAAACCAAACUAGUGACCUUGAAAAGAACUUGAAGCUAGCUCUUCGAUCCAAAAAACCUCGAUCUGAAAACCCCCCCUCCCCCCCUUUUCUUAACCUUCCUCCUCUUUAACCCUAAUUCUUCCCUCUUUCAAACCCUAGCCUCUGAAUUUCUUCAAUCUUCCGUCUUGGAUCCGGAAUUGGCUCCUUCCAUCUUGGAUCCAGAAUUGGCUCUGUUGUCAGAGCUUUCUCCUCCAUUUUUAUCUUUAAGAGAUCUUUUUUCCAAAAGGACGUCCCCGGAGUAGCAUAAAAGACGGAACAGCUUGAAACGGAAUCGGAGCCCUGUAAUCGAGACAACAUUGAGUUGCUCGACCAAUUCAGGUCUCAUAUUAGAUAAGAGGCCCAUAUUAAGACUUGGAUGUUCCCGCAAUUGGACUGCAUUGGGUUGCCCGACCAAUUCAGGUCUCAUAUUGGAUAAGAGGACCUGGAUUGGAUGUCUUGAAAUUGGAUCCAAUUGGCUCUUCGAACCAAGCUCAUCCGUCGUUGAAUUGAUCCUUUCCCUUUCUGCUGACUCUCAUUAUUGGAAUCGAAUGGAGCAUCUCAAUAAGCCCCGGCUGAUUGUAAUGAGGUCACUGAACCUAGCCUCUUAGUAUUUACACUAGAAUUGGUCGUUGCUCCCAAUAUUCAAGGUAAGUGAACAUUAAUAAAAGUCCUCGUCCUUUAUAUUUUCACAGUAUACUCGUGCUACAACGCGACAACGUCUAGAGACUUACCGGCUGGGACAAAAAGGAUUUUGGCAAGCAGUCGAAGGACAUCCGUAUAGAUUUACAAUAUAUUCUCGUAGUUGUUUAUAUUCCAACAGUUAAAAACCGAUAGACUACUUGAAUAUUGGCGAAUCUCCAUACUACCUUCUAUAGCCAGACACCCAGCGCGUUCUUGAGUAGGAAAGCACGUAAUACGAUACAAGUGGUGAACUCGACGUAAAAGCUUGAGGUGGAAGGUAUUGGAUUUUGUUUGGUUUUAUUUUUAUUUUAUGGAAAACGAAAAUAAAAAUUUUGAAGGAUCUUUGGGAGGAGUUUCUGGUGGGGGUUCUUCUAAAGGACAAGGUAUGCACAUCGAUCCGUCUAUCGCUAGUAUGUUUCAAGCCUCUUCAUUAUCAAUGCAGCAACAGCAAAGCAAUGAUUGCAAGAAAGCUUUGGCAACCAAAGCAUUGCAAGCAGUGGUCAAUAAAAUUGAUCAAUUUGAUGGAAGGAAUAUUUCAAGGUAUUUAAGAUGUUAUGUUCGUGAAAUGGAAUUAAAUUAGAUUUUUGAGAAGAAAAUGGUUGAAUUAUUUGGACUUGCCAUGAUAUCAAAGAUAAGAGACCAUAUUACAUCGAUUACGGAUCGUUAUGGGAAUUCAUAGGAGGUUUUUUUACAUGCAUUGAAAGACGAAUAUUUCUUGGAAGAUGUUGAUCGCGUUACUAAGAAGUUGUUUCUGGAAUGGAUUGAACGGCCCAAUAAGAAUUUGUAAGCAACGGAGCUACUGAGGGAAUUUGAGAGGUAGUACUCUCAAUUGUCGAAGGUAGAAAAAUUGACAUUGGAGCCGAACAAAGUUGAUCUAUUUCUUCAAGCUGCUGAGGGAGAAUUGCAAGGAAAAUUAGAACUCCUUCUUGAAGACAAAGAAGAAGAUGAAGGAUUGACAACAAAGUAGAAGAACGUUGAAGAUGUGGUGGGGUUGCUUACAAAAAGAGAAAGGAGGAAGGAUAGGAGUAAUAUUCUGAAAACAGUACAAGCACCCAAAGCUCCAGUACGUACAAUACCACCAACAAUGCCUACAGUUCAAUCUUCGACAUCCUUAUCAAAAAAAGCAGAUAUGGGGAUGGAAGAAAUUAUAUGAGGAAUGUGAGAUCUUCAAAUUAAAUUGGCAAGACUUGAAUAGAAUACUUCUACAAAUAAUUUGAAGAAUGUUUCAAAACAAGGAUAUGUACAAAGAUGCAUUUGGUGUGAUGAUGCUUCACACACUAGGAAAGAUUGCAAUGAAUUUAAUAAUAUGAUACGGCAAGGAAUUAUUUGAUGGAAAGAUGGGAAGAUAGUAUUAAAAGAUAGAGAGGAUCUUCUUCAAACUAAUUUUGAUAAGGGAGGAAUGAGAGCAUUGGUUCAAGAUUACUUAAAAGAGCAUGAAAUAGCAUCACGAGAAAGUGCAAGUUAUGGUGCUAGAGUAGAUGAUGACCUUGGUGGAGGUACGAAAACUAGUGAGUUUUGGCCUUCUGCCGUUUCUACAAUGUAAGAAGGGAAAUUACCUCGAGAAGCGUUAUUGAGGAUUGCAGCUACAAUACGAGUUGCAACAAGUUGGGAGGAUCCUGUUGAGUCUCUUUCAGUUCAUGCAUAUAUUACUAAGAGCCAACAUGAAGCUUUGAUGGAAGAAAAGAGACGAAGAAAUUUUGAUGAUACGAGAGAAGAAAAUUCUUCUAAAAGGCAAGCUCGAGGAGACAAGGCUCGGAAGGCAGCUUCACAAGAAUUGCCUGUAAAGAUACCUCAGCAUGAUUGGGAGAAAAAACUAGGAAAACAAAAGAUAAGUGCAAAUCAAUUGCUUAUAAGCUACUUUUUGACAUUGAAGCGGCAAUAAAUUUGAAAGGGGUGUUGAAAGAAUGUAUAUUAAACGCUAAGGUGGAAUUCACAUUGAAAGAAGUCUUGGGAAUUGCAAAGAAGGAGUUUCAUGAUAUUAUCAUUGACAACAUUAAGCGAAAGAGGCAAUUAAUGGGUAAAACUGGAAUGAUUCAUGAUAUUGAUGCAAGAAUAUAUGAAGAUGAAGAAUAGGUUGAUAUUGGUUACAAGCAACCAACAAAUGAAAAGAAUGGGUAUAAUCAACAAGUACGUUUCGAAGAUUAUAGUGAUAAGGAAAUGGAAACCUUGAGCCAUUAUACUCUAAAGCAUUGGGCAAAGGCAACUAUUGAGGUAUUGGUGAAAGUAGGAGAUAUAGAAGAAUGUCAAGGACAAGAACUUGAUGAAAAAAUAAUUAAAACAAGUGAGCCUUCAUUCAAAGAGAGGUAACAAAAUAUAUAUAAACAAGUAUAUAUAUUGAAAGAGAAACUAGAAUGGCUAUUGCCAAAAGAUAAGAAAACUAGAGAUCCUUGAAACUAGACUAGAAGUAAGAAAAGAGUUGACAAGAGUGAAGAAGCCUUCACUCUUGUCUCUAUAUAUACUAUCUAACUAGGGGCUAUGUGGCGACAUUCUAUAGGACCUCCAAUAUGUGUUGACUUUAUAGGAUACAUGCCUUGACUUACAAGGCAAGUUUUUCUACGUGUGGGCCACAUAGUUAGCUUGAUCUUCAAGCUAACAACAUGUGUGGCACAUGGCCAACUUGUUGACCACGUUUUUAAUCCAAAAAGUCAAUUAAAGACACCUAUGAAGUCAAAGCAGCAUCUGGGAAGCUUCUAAAAAGCUUACAUAUUAAAUAUUAUAGAAUUAAUUUACUUUUAUCUACUUUUAUUUACUUCUACUUAUUUGUAUAUGUAAUUAUUUGCUUACAUGAUUAUGGCCGUGACAUUAUCCCCUCUUCUAGAGACGAGUUCCACGAGGAGCGGUCAUCAUAUGUUGAGGAAAUCUAUGAUGCGACGAAUUGUAUUCGCCUCAUACUCUGAUCUCUAUUCUCUUCGAAGAUGAUUGAUAGGGCCUCUCAACCAUCGAUAGUGUCCCAUACUAGGGCGGGAAGACCAUCCAGUUAUUUGAUCAUUGUUGAGGCCUUCGUAACUUCCUUCGAAUAGAAUAUUUGGAACACCAUCAGGAAUUGUUCCUACCUCUAGCAAAAUCAUCAAACAUUGGGAGUCCCUUCCCAAAUCGUGAUACCAAAUGCGUCGUAUCUCACCAUCUAUUCAAGGAAGUACAUAUCAUUCUUGAAGAUCUUCAUUUCGAUUAUGUCAUCUUGAAGGUUGUGACAAUUAUACAGUCUCGUCUGACAAGUCAACAAAUUAAGGCUCUUGAGUUGAAUUCGCUGGUUGUUGGUUCUCCAUCUCUUGAGCGUCACUACUACAACGAAGCUACGAAUAAGAAUUGAAAGUAGAAUGUUAUCUUGCCUAGAUGUUGUUUCUUAUAUAAAGAAGGUUUUCAUCUUGAUUUUGAUGGAUGUCGUCGAUGAAAAGCCUGCACCGCCUUUUCUGCAUUUGCAAGAUUUUUUAUUGGCUCCCAUGAGCAUUCACUAAUACCAUAUUUGCGCCAAUGGAUAAGAUAUUCUAAUUUAUUUCGGCGUCGCCUUGAAUCUAAGACUUCUUCUACUUCAAACUCUUCAUUAUUGUCCACUUCUAUAGGAGGAGGUGGAGCUUGUCGUCUUCUUGGUAUGUCCACUGUCUUGUAUGGUUCAAGAAGAGACACGUGGAAUACUGGAUGGAUUUUCAUUGACUCCGGUAGAUGUAAAUGAUAUGCAACUGGAUUGAUUUCUGCAGAAAUAAAAAUGGUCCCAGCCUUCGAUAGUCCAACUUGUCACAAGGACGAGUGGUCUUGAUAUUGCGACGAAGUAGCCAUACUUUAUCACCCAAGACGAAUGAUGGUUGUUUCUUUUGAUAGACUGCCUUCCUUAUUUGAGGCCACCGAAAAUCCCUAGAUAUCUGCUCCAAAGUCUUAUUAUAUCUAAAAUGUCCUUCUGUUGGGAAGUCAUGACGAGCUUGAAGAACACGUAAACGAGCUUCUCCUUCUGGAACAUAUAGGCGUCCUUCGAAAUAGAGUAGGUUGUUCUUGAAUUCAAAUUUAGAUGGAUCAUGAGAUUUAGAAUAAUUGUUCUUGAUAUCAUGAACAAGAGGGUCUGAAGACAUACUUAACUGGACUUGCUUAAGGAAAGUUAAAUCAACAGUCAAUGUUGAUUUUAUUGCUCGAAGAUGAAAUUGUUCCGGCUUCAAGAGAACCGUUCUUUAUUGCUCAAAAGCUGCAUCUCCUUCUUUUGGUGCAAGAUAAAAACGUCUAGACAAGGCAUCGGAUAAACCUUGUUGUUUUUCUGGCCGAUAAGUGAUGAUGAACUCGAAUCUUGAUAAAGACAUGUUCCAACGAGCUUAGGGACGAUUUAAUACACGUGUUGACAUAAAAUAUUCGAGGUUCUUGUGAUCCGUAUACACGAUGACUAGAUUAGAAGCGCCUUCUAGAUAAUGACGCCAUUCUUGAAAAGAAUCCACAAUCGCAAGAAGUUCUUUGUCGUGGAUCUCAUAAUUGAUUUCUGCUCCUGAGAAUUUUCUUGAAUGAAAGGCUACUAGAUGAAGUUUGUCAUCUGUUCCCAUUUGUGAUAAAACUGCACCAGAGCAAAGUCUGAUGCAUCUGUUUCCAUAAAGAAUGCUUUGGAAAAAUCAACUUGAUACAAGAUUGGUGCAGAAACAAACACUGUCUUCAAAGAUUCAAAAGCAACUUUCACUUCUUGGUUCCAUUGGAGUUUGUCUUUAUAAGUCAAACAUGUAAGUGGAGCUGCAACUCGAGAAAAGUCUUUGAUGAAGAUUCGAUAGUAGUUGGCAAAUCCCAAAAAGCAUUGGACAUCUCUUACUGUUUUUGGGCUCUUCUAAUCUAUAAUAGUUUGAACUUUCUUAGGAUCCAUCAUAAGUCCAUCAUUUGAAAUGAUGUAACCUAAGAAAUCGACUUGAGUAGUGUGGAAUACAUACUUUUCUAUCUUGGCAUAGAGUCCUGCAUCUUUAAUUUUUUGUAACACCCGACGAACAUGAAGUUCAUAUUCUUUUGGAUUCUUAGAAUAGAUCAAGAUGUCGUCUAGAUAACAUACCACAAAAUCGUCCAAAAACUCUCAAAAAACAUCAUUCAUUAGAUGUUGAAAAGCUGCUGGUGCAUUUGUAAGUCUAAAAGGCAUGACGUUGUAUUCAAAAUGUCCAUACCUAGUUCGAAACGCAGUCUUCCAUUCAUCUCCUUCUUUGAUGCAUAUUAGAUUGUAUGCUCCUCGAAGAUCUAUUUUUGAUUCAAUUGAUCAAGAAGUCCGGAUAUUAAAGGUAGUGGAUACCUCUUUUUGAUGGUAAUCUUGUUGACUCCUCUAUAAUCAACACACAUUCGCAAUGAUCCAUCUUUUUUCUUCAUAAAUAGAAUUGGAGCUCCUGCUGGAGAUUUAGAAUGGCGUAUGAAAUUCUUGGCUAGAUUUUCUUCAAUAUACUCCUUGAGUUCAGCCAAGUCAUUUUGUGAUAAACUAAAGAUUGGUCCGAAUGGCGGUUGUGCUCCUUCUUGAAGGUCAAUUGAGCAAUCAUAGGGACGAUGUUUCGAGAGUGUAUCCGCAUUCUUUUUUUCAAAUACAUCUUGAAAUUCUUGAUAUUGGCUUGGAAUGCCACGUGAAGUCUUUUCACCAGUAGAAACGGGUGUAGCAUAAAUAAUGUAUGGUGAUUCUUUCAUAGCAGCAUGCAAGAAAGCUUUUGCACUUAUAAAUACGGGUUUAAUUGAACUGAACUUAUGACUCUCUACUUGAUUAACUACACUGUUAAUUAUACUUUUAGAGAAAGUAGGAGUUCCAAAAAUCCAAUUUAUUUGAGGGUUGUAUUUUUCUAACCACGAUAAACCUAAAAUGACUAUGUUAGAGGGAGAUCUAAUGAUAUUAAAUACUACAAAACUAUUAUGACGAUUGAUUAUUACUUCUAUAGGAAGGAUUUCAUGAGCAAUAUCUCCAGAAGACAAUGGACGACCAUCUAUGACUUCUACAUGAACAGAUUUAGUUUUCUUUACUAAAGAUAUGCUAUGUCUUUUAGUAAAUUCUUCAUCUAAAAAACACGCUGAGGCUCCUGAAUCUAACAAGGCAGAGGCUUUGUAAUAUUUAGGUCCUAAAAUAACAUUUUAUAUAAAACAAGGAGAGGGCUUUGAGGAGAGAAUAGGACCUUUAUUAGAAGUUGUGCAAGGUUCCAGCCGCACGGUCCCUAUUGUAGCUAGACAAACUUGUUUUCCAACAUAUUAUCUUCUUUCACAGCCAUACUCCUCAUUUUGUGAUUGCGUUGUUUCUUUGGACAAUGCUGAGCAGUGUGCUUUGGUUCUCCACAAUAUAUACAUAAUCCUUCUUGACGACGACGAGUCUUUUCUUGCUCAGUAAGAGGUUUGAAACGUACUGCAUCAAUUUGCAUAUCCUCUACUUCUGAAUGUAUGUGUUGAAGAGAUAUUGGUGUUGCCAUUGAAUUAUAGUAACGUUGAAGUCCACUUGUAUGGUUCUCAGAUUGGAAUUCAAAAAGGCGAUUGUCGCACUUCACAGUAAAGUCAAUUGCUUGACUCAAUGUUUGAGGAUCAUGUAAGUUGAGCAUUAAUAUUUUUACCUCAUAUUAUAAUCCGUAGAGAAAUUGGCUAAUAAGUGCAACAUCAUCCCACUUGAUAUCAGUUGCAAGUUGUCAAAAUUGUGAAGCAUAUAACAUUACUGAUCGAUUUCCUUGUCGUAAAAUAUGGAUCUUAUUGGUUGCAACAUGAAUUGCAUCAUGUUCUCCAUACAUGGAUCGAAACCUCUAGAUUAUCCAAUAUUAGAUCUCGUUGUUCAAGAAAAGAUGAAAACCAUGAUAGUGCCGAAUGUGAAAGAAGCAUACCAAUGAAUCUAACUUAUGAUCUUGGAGUUGGAUAGCUUCGAGGUUGAAGUUCAAUCACAAGUUACACUUGAUUGAUAAAUCCUUAAAACUUGGAUCUGGUGCCAUCAAACUUCUCGGGUAGGGCAAUUCUUGGUUCUGUAACAUUUGAAGGGCGUUCCACCAUAGGAGAAAGAACAUGAUUUGGUGCAGAUGUUGAAGCAGCUUCAACCAUUUCAAUAUCUUCACUUCCUGCCAAUCUUGUUGCUCCUUCUGGUGGUAAAUUGAGUUGAUGCAUCGCAAGCAUUAACUCCUUCAAUUGCUCUUGCAUUUGUGCCAUUACACUCUCCAUUUCAAGAAAUUCUGCCAUGAUAAUACUUAGAAGAGAGAAGAUGUCUAAUAUCGCUCAAGACAAAUAGAAGAGAGGACUUGCACACAAAGAAAAUACUAAGGACAAUAUUAGUUUAGAAGACGGUAAUCCGCAACUUUUAAUACGCUUAUAUCUUAUCAAGAAAAAGGGGUAAUCCACUCUUAAUCAAGAUUAGACAAAGCUCUGAUAUUAUAGGUGUACUCUUGUCAAUCUAUCAAGGACAAGAACUUGAUGAAAAAAUAAUUCAGACAAGUGAGCCUUCAUUCAAAGAGAGGUAACAAAAUAUAUAAAAACAAGUAUAUAUAUUGAAAGAGAAACUAGAAUGGCUAUUGUCAAAAGAUAAGAAAACUAGAGACCCUUGAAACUAGACUAGAAGCAAGAAAGGAGUUGACAAGAGUGAAGAAGCCUUCACUCUUGUCUCUAUAUAUACUAUCUAACUAGGGGCUAUGUGGCGACAUUCUAUAGGACCUCCAAUAUGUGUUGACUUUAUAGGAUACAUGCCUUGACUUACAAGGCAAGUUUUUCUACGUGUGGGCCACAUAGUUAGCUUGAUCUUCAAGCUAACAACAUGUGUGGCACAUGGCCAACUUGUUAACCACGUUUAUAAUCCAAAAAGUCAAUUAAAGACACCUAUGAAGUCAAAGCAGCAUCUAAGAAGCUUCUAAGAAGCUUCCAUAUUAAAUAUUAUAGAAUUAACUUACUUUUACCUACUUUUACUUACUUCUACUUAUUUAUAUAUGUAAUUAUUAGCUUACAUGAUUAUGGCCUUGACAAAGAACUAAUUGUUGCUUUAGUUGACCAUGGUUCUGAAAUAAAUCUCAUGUCUAAAGUUCUUUAUAAGAAGCAAAAAUGGCCAAUUGAUAUGGAACAUGGAUGGGCAAUACGAGCAACUAAUAACACACGGGGCGAAUUAUAUGGAACUUGUCCAGAUGUCAAAAUUUGGAUUGGGGAUGUUGCGAUGGAGCAACAUUUUUUUGUUCAAGAUACAACAUCUUAUUCGUUGAUUUUAGGACAACCUUAUAUUACAGCAACACGGAUGGAAAGAAAAGUACUUGACGAUGGUUCUACUUAUGCAAGGGUACAUAGCGAAGAUGGGAGGAAAGUUGUACAAUUUCUAACAGUACCUCCCAACUAUGAACGGAAUCGAGAUAGGUUGAGGGAGAAACCAUUUCCAAAGAUUGUUGAAGGAUUUAAGGAUUUUCGGGAGGUACCACUAUAAAGUGAGAUUAUGGAGGUACAAAAGAGGAGGUACUCUUGCGAGAUGAAGGUGCCUUUGAUGCGAGUUUUAUUGGUAUUUUGGAGAAUGGAAAUAUUAUGUAUAAGAAAGUUGAUGAUUUAAAAAAAAAAAAAAAAAAAAAAAAAAAAAAAAGAUUAUAUGAUAUUGAAGGAGAAUUACGCAAAUAAGGUACGCAGCAAGAAGAUGAAAGUGAUUUGGAUAAUGAAGGUGAUGAAGACGAACUGGGCAAAGACGUAGAGAUUAUAUUUUAAAUCAAACAGCAAUUGAGUAAAUUGAUGCAUACCAGAGGAUGCACAGGUUCAGAGGGGGUAGAUGUCGUGUUGUAACACGAGUAUACCGUGAAAAUAUAAAGAAAGGGGACUUUUAUUAAUAUUCAGUUACCUCGAAUAUUGGGAGCAAUGACCAAUUUCCGCGCCAAUACUGAGUGGCGAGGUUCAGUCACCUCGCUACAGUCAGUCGGGGCAUUUUGAAAUGCUCCUUUCGAUUCCAAUAACGGGAGUCUGUAGGAAGAGAAAGGACCAAUUCAAUGACGGGUGAGCUUGGUUCGAAGAGCCAAUUGGAUUUAAUUUCAAGACAUUCAAUCCAAGUCCUAUUACAGGCCUCUUACUGAAUAUGAGACCUGACUUGGUCGGGCAAUCCAAUGCGGUCCAAUUACGAGAUCAUCCAAGUCUUACUACGGGCCUCUUGACCAAUAUGAGACCUGAAUUGGUCGUGCGACUCAAUGUGGUCCCGAUUACAGGGUUUGGAUUCUGUUUCAGGCUGUCUUGUUCAUUGUGCCAUUUCAGGGAACGUUGUCGUAUUACAUGCUUUCCUGCUCGAGAACGCACCGGGCAUCUGGCUGUAGAAGGUAGUAUGGAGAUUCGCCAAUAAUCAAGCAAUCUAUCAGUUUUUGACUGCUGGAAUAUAAACGAUUGUAAAAAUACAUCGUAAAUCUAUACGGAUGCCCUUCGACUGCUUGUCCAAGUCCCUUUUAUCCCAGCCGGUAGGUCUCUAGACGUUGCAGAGAACCCCGAACAAUCCAAUCUAGUAAUAUCCGAUACCGCUUUGUACUUACAAUCUUGUAUCCACUGACUGUCUUGUUAGAUUAAUCCAAUAAAUUUCAUUCACUCCACAUACUCAAUCCUAUAGACACCCUUUUAAUCCAUCAAUCACAAACGUAACUCGAUUUUACAAAACAGUCAGGAGUGAUCACACCCACUUCAUUAAAAAUCCUGAUUCACCAUUACAACACUGACUUCAGCAACGAUUGCCUCAGUCUUCCCAAAACUCUAUGAAGAAGAAAAAUCCAAUUCUCCGUCUUUUCUUCUCCGACCCGAAGUAUGAAGCUCUUCUCCAAUCUCCUUGAUCUUCAAAAACCUCCAAUGAAAAAAAACUCGUAAUCUUCCCAAGAGCUUGAAGCUAGCUCUUUCCUGAUCCCAAAAAAAAAAACCCCCCUUCCUCUCUGAUGUGAAAAAAAAAAAAAAACUCCUAAAAACUUAUUCCCCCCCUAACCUUAUCUUCUAAAUUUCUUUAAUCUUCCGUCUUGGAUCCGGAAUUGGCUCCCGCCGUCAGAGCUUAGAUCCAAAAUUAGCUCUCGCCAUCAAAGCUUUCUCUUCCGUUUUUACCUUUAAGAGAUCCAUUUAUCGAAAACAACGUUCCCUGAAACAGAGAAUAGGACAGCCUGAAACAGAAUCGAACCCUGUAAUCGGGACCACAUUGAGUCGCCCGACCAAUUCAAGUUUCAUAUUGGAUAAGAGUCUAAUAGUAAGACCCGGAUUUUCCAGUAAUCAAACUACAUUGGGUUGCCCGACCAAUACAGGUCUCAUAUUGGGUAAGAGGACUCGGAUUGGAUUCUUGAAAUGAGACUGUAUUGGGUCGCCCGACCAAUUUAGGUCUCAUAUUGGGUAAGAGGACCCGGAUUGGAUUCUCGAAAUUAGAUCCAAUUGGCUCUUCGAACCAGGCUCACCCGUCGCGUGAAUUGGUCCUUUCCCUUCCUGCUGACUCCCGUUAUUGGAAUCGAACGGAGCAUUUCAGUAUGCCCCGGCUGACUCUAACGGGGUGACCGAACCUGGCCACUCAGUAUUUACACUGGAGUUGGUCGUUGCUCCCAAUAUUCGAGGUAACUGAUCAUUUAUAAAAUUCCUCUUUCUUUUUAUUUUCACUGUAUACUCGUGUUACAACACGACAACGUUGUUUUCGGUAAAAGAAUCUCUAAAAGAUAAAAACGGAGGAGAGAACUCUGACGGCGGAGCCAAUUUCAGAUCUAAGACGGAAGAUUGAAGAAAUUCAGAGGCUAGGGUUUGAGAGAGGGGAGAAUUAGGAUUAAAAGAGAGGAUAGGUUAAGAAAUGGAGGGGAGAGGAUAAGUUUUUUUAAGAAGGAUUGGAGAGCUAGCUUCAUGCUUUGGAGCGGGAAAAAAAGACAGAGAAUUGGGUUUUUUUUUUUCUUCAUAGGGUUUUGGUAAGACUGAGGCAAUCAUUGCUAAAGUUAGUGUUGUACAGGUGAAUCGGGAUUUUAAUGAAGAAGGUAUGAUGACUCUUGACUGUUUCGUGAAAUCGAGUUACGUCUGUGAUGAAGAAUUAAAAGGAUGUCUAUAGGAUUAAGUAUGUGGUGUCGUGUUGUAACACGAAUAUACUGUGAAAAUAUAAAGAAAGGGGACUUUUAUUAAUAUUUAGUGACUUCGAAUAUUGGGAGCAACGACCAAUUCCAGUGCAAAUACUGGGAGGCCAAGGUCAUUCAUCCCGUUACAGUCAGCUGGGGCAUACUGAAAUGCUCCAUUCGAUUCCAAUAAUGGGAGUCAACAAAAAAGAAAAAGGACCAAUUCAAUGAUGGGUGAGCCUGGUUCGAAGAGCCAAUUGGAUCCAAUUUCAAGACAUCCAAUCCAGAUCCUCUUAUCCUAUAUGAGACCUGAAUUGGUCAAGCAACCCAAUGCAGUCUAAUUAUGGGAAAAUCCAGGUCUUACUAUGGGCCUCAGCCAAUCUGACACGAAGGACCAAUUUGAUCCAAUUAUGGGAACAUCCGGGUCUUACUACUGGAUUCUUAUCCAAUAUGAGACCUGAAUUGGUCAGGCGACUCAAUGUGGUCCCGAUUAUGGGAUUUCGAUUCUGUUUCAGGCUGUCCUGUUCUCUGUGCCGUUUCAAAGAAUGUUGUUUUCGGUAAAAGGAUCUCUUAAAGGUAAAAGCGAAGGAGAAAGCUCUGACGAUGAGAGCCAAUUUUGGAUCGAAGCUCUGACAGCGGGAGCCAAUUUUGGAUCUAAGACGGAAGAUUGAAGAAAUUCAGAAUUAAGGUUAAGAAAUGAGAAGAAAAGAGAAGAAGUUUUUUUGGGGGUUUUGAAGGAUCAGAGAGCAAGCUUCAUGCUUUGAGAGGAAAAAAAAGACACAGAAUAGGGUUUUUUUUCUUCAUAGGGUUUUGGAAAGACUGAGGUAAUCGUUGCUAAAGUCAGUGUUGUAAUGGUGAAUCAAGAUUUUUAAUGAAGUGGGUUUGAUUACUCUUGACUGUUUUGUGAAAUCCAAGUUACGUCUGUCAUUGGAGAAUUGAAAGGGUAUCUAUAGGAUUGAGUAUGUAGAGUGAAUGAAAUUUAUAAGAUUAAUCUAACAAGACAGUCAGUGGAUACAAGAUCGUGAGUACAAAGUGGUAUCGAAGAUUAGCAGUUUGAAUUGUUCGGGAUUCUCUGUAACAUAUACAGACCUAUCAAUUAGGAUAAAAAGGACUUCGACAAGUAGUCGAAGAGCAUCUAUAUAGAUUUAUGAUGUAUUCUUGUAGUCGUUUAAAUUCCAACAAUCAAAAAUCGAUAGACUGUUUGAAUAUUGGUAAAUCUCCAUACUACCUUCUAUAGCUAGACGCGCGGCGCAUUCUCGAGCAGAAAAGCACGUAAUACGACAUAAAGUGGUGAAUCUGACAUGAAAGCUUGAGGUGGAAGGUAUUGGAUUUUGUUUGGUUUUAUUUUUAUUUUAUGGAAAACGAAAAUAAAAAUUUUGAAGGAUCUUUGGGAGGAGUUUCUGGUGGGGGUUCUUCUAAAGGACAAGGUAUGCACAUCGAUCCGUCUAUCGCUAGUAUGUUUCAAGCCUCUUCAUUAUCAAUGCAGCAACAGCAAAACAAUGAUUGCAAGAAAGCUUUGGCAACCAAAGCAUUGCAAGCAGUGGUCAAUAAAAUUGAUCAAUUUGAUGGAAGGAAUAUUUCAAGGUAUUUAAGAUGUUAUGUUCGUGAAAUGGAAUUAAAUUAGAUUUUUGAGAAGAAAAUGGUUGAAUUAUUUGGACUUGCCAUGAUAUCAAAGAUAAGAGACCAUAUUACAUCGAUUACGGAUCGUUAUGGGAAUUCAUAGGAGGUUUUUUCACAUGCAUUGAAAGACGAAUAUUUCUUGGAAGAUGUUGAUCGCGUUACUAAGAAGUUGUUUCUGGAAUGGAUUGAACGGCCCAAUAAGAAUUUGUAAGCAACGGAGCUACUGAGGGAAUUUGAGAGGUAGUACUCUCAAUUGUCGAAGGUAGAAAAAUUGACAUUGGAGCCGAACAAAGUUGAUCUAUUUCUUCAAGCUGCUGAGGGAGAAUUGCAAGGGAAAUUAGAACUCCUUCUGGAAGACAAAGAAGAAGAUGAAGGAUUGACAACAAAGUAGAAGAACGUUGAAGAUGUGGUGGGGUUGCUUACAAAAAGAGAAAGGAGGAAGGAUAGGAGUAAUAUUCUGAAAACAGUACAAGCACCCAAAGCUCCAGUACGUACAAUACCACCAACAAUGCCUACAGUUCAAUCUUCGACAUCCUUAUCAAAAAAAGCAGAUAUGGGGAUGGAAGAAAUUAUAUGAGGAAUGCGAGAUCUUCAAAUUAAAUUGGCAAGACUUGAAGAGAAUACUUCUACAAAUAAUUUGAAGAAUGUUUCAAAACAAGGAUAUGUACAAAGAUGCAUUUGGUGUGAUGAUGCUUCACACACUAGGAAAGAUUGCAAUGAAUUUAAUAAUAUGAUACGGCAAGGAAUUAUUUGAUGGAAAGAUGGGAAGAUAGUAUUAAAAGAUAGAGAGGAUCUUCUUCAAACUAAUUUUGAUAAGGGAGGAAUGAGAGCAUUGGUUCAAGAUUACUUAAAAGAGCAUGAAAUAGCAUCACGAGAAAGUGCAAGUUAUGGUGCUAGAGUAGAUGAUGACCUUGGUGGAGGUACGAAAACUAGUGAGUUUUGGCCUUCUGCCGUUUCUACAAUGUAAGAAGGGAAAUUACCUCGAGAAGCGUUAUUGAGGAUUGCAGCUACAAUACGAGUUGCAACAAGUUGGGAGGAUCCUGUUGAGUCUCUUUCAGUUCAUGCAUAUAUUACUAAGAGCCAACAUGAAGCUUUGAUGAAAGAAAAGAGACGAAGAAAUUUUGAUGAUACGAGAGAAGAAAAUUCUUCUAAAAGGCAAGCUCGAGGAGACAAGGCUCGGAAGGCAGCUUCACAAGAAUUGCCUGUAAAGAUACCUCAGCAUGAUUGGGAGAAAAAACUAGGAAAACAAAAGAUAAGUGCAAAUCAAUUGCUUAUAAGCUACUUUUUGACAUUGAAGCGGCAAUAAAUUUGAAAGGGAUGUUGGAAGAACAUAUAUUAAAUGCUAAGGUAGAAUUCACAUUGAAAGAAGUUUUGAGAAUUGCAAAAAAAGAGUUUCAUGAUGUUAUCAUUGACAGCAUUAAGCAAAAGAGGCAAUUAAUGGGCAAAACUAGAAUGAGUCAUGCUAUUAAUGCAAGAAUAUAUAAAGAUGAAGAAGAAAUUGUUAUUGGUUACAAGCAACCAAUAAAUGAAAAGAAUGGGUAUAAUCAAUGAGUACGUUUCGAAGAUUAUAGUGAUAAGAAAAUAGAAACUUUGAGCCAUUAUACUCAAAAGCAUUGGGCAAGGGCAACUAUUGAGGUAUUGGUGAAAGUAGGAGAUAUAGAUGAACCAAUUGUUGCUUUAGUCGACCAUGAUUUUGAAAUAAAUCUCAUGUCUAAAGAUCUUUAUAAGAAGCUAAAAUAGCCAAUUGAUAUGGAACAUGGAUGGGCAAUACGAGCAGCUAAUAACACACAGGGAAAAUUAUAUGGAGCUUAUCGAGAUGUCAAAAUUCAGAUUGGGGAUGUUGCGACGGAGCAACAUAUCUUUGUUCAAGAUACAAUGUCUUAUCCGUUGAUUUUAGGACAACCUUAUAUUACGACAACACGGAUGGAAACAAAAAUACUUGACGAUGGUUCUGCUUAUGCAAGGGUACGUAGCAAAGAUGAGAGGAAAGUUGUACAAUUUCUAAUAGUACCUCCUAACCAUGAACGGAAUCGAGAUAGGUUGAGGAAGAAACCAUUGCCAAAGAUUAUUGAAGGAUUUAAGGAUUUUGAAUAGGUACCACUGUAAAGCAAGAAUGUGGAGGUACAAAAGAGGAGGUACUCUCGCGAGAUGAAGGUGCCUUUGAUACGAGUUUUAUUGGUAUAUUGGAGAAUGGAAAUAUUAUGUAUAAGAAAGUUGAUGAUUUUAAAAGAAAGGAAAGAAAAAGAUUAUAUAAUAUUGAAGGAGAAUUAUACAAGUAAGGUACAUUGCAAGAUGAUGAGAGGAUUUUAGGUGUUUAUGAAGAAAAUGGACUGAAAGAUUCAUUGGAAUUGAUUACAUCUAUUGGGUAAGGGGUUAAUGAUAAGAUUGUUGAAAUUCAUUCAAGAGAGGUUUAUACCAUGCUUGAAUCUUUUCAAGCACCAGAAGUCACUGUAGAGACGAGAUAUAAAACAGCAGAUAAGAAGGUAAAGCCUGUUGUCGGACCAUUACCAAAAGAUUUUAAAGAACAAAUAGGAGAAGCAUCAAAAGAAGCAAGUUUAAGAGAUCCAAUGAGAAUUGGACAUCACUUUACUAAAGAGACUUUUGAAGAAUUGAAGAUUGGUUCUGAUGGUUCUUUAUUGUCGGUGUCGUAAUACGUGCUUUCUUGCUCGAGAACGCGCCGGGUGUCUAGCUGUAGAAGGUAGUAUGGAGAUUCGCCGAUAGUCAAGUAGUCUAUCAGUUUUUGACUGCUGGAAUAUAAACGACUGCAACAAUGUACCGUAAAUCUAUACGGAUGCUCUUCGACUUCUUAUCGAAGUUUUUUUUUUUGUCCCAGCUGAUAGGUCUCUAGACGUUACAGAGAACUCCGAACAACCCAAACUGUUAAUCUUCAAUACCCCUUUGUACUUACGAUCUUGUAUCCACUUACUGUCCUGUUAGAUUAAUCCAAUAAAUUUCAUUCACUCCGCAUACUCAAUCCUAUAGACACCCCUUUAAUCCUUCAAUCACAGACGUAACUCGAUUUCACAAAAUAGUCAAGAGUAUUCAAACCCACUUCAUUUAAAAAUCCCGAUUCACCAUUACAACACUGACUACAGCAGCGAUUGCCUCAGUCUUCCCAAAACUCUACGAAGAAGAAAAAUCCAAAUUCUAUGUCUUUCCUUCCUCGACCCGAAGCAUGAAGCUCCUCUCUCUAAUUCCCUUGAUCUUCAAAAACCUCCAAUGAAAAUCGAACUGGUAACCUUGCAAAAGCUUCAAAACUCGCUCCCCCCCCUAUUUUUGCGAAAAAAAACCUCCCCCUUCAAAACUAUAUCCCCCCUAACCUUAUCCUCUGAAUUUCUUCAAUCUUCCGUCUUAGAUACGGAAUUGGCUCCUACCUCAAGCUUGGAUCCGAAAUUGGCUCUCGCCGUCAAGCUUUCUCCUCCGUUUUUACCUUUAAGAAAUCCAUUUACCAAAAACAACAUUCCCUGAAACGGCACAGAGAACAGGACAGCCUGAAACAGAAUCGAACCCCGUAAUCGGGACCACAUUGAGUCGCCCGACCAAUUCAGGUCUUAUAUUGGGAAAGAUGCCCGUAGUAACCUGGAUGUUCCCGUAAUUGGGUCAAAUUGGUCCUCGCAUCAGAUUGGCUAAGACCCGUAGUAAGACCUGGAUUUCCCAUAAUUAGACUACAUUGGGUUGACCGGCCAAUUUAGGUCUCAUAUUGGAUAAGAAGACCCGGAUUGGAUUAUCAAAAUUGGAUCCAAUUGGCUCCUCGAACCCGUCGUGUGAAUUAAUCCUUCUCUUCCUGCUGACUCGUGUUAUUGGAAUCGAACGGAGCAUUUCAGUAUGCCCCGACUAACUGUAACGGAGUGACUGAACCUGACCACUCAGUAUUUGUACUGGAGUUGGUCGAUGCUCCCAAUAUUCGAGGUAACUGAAUAUUAAUAAAAUUUCCAUUUCUUUUUAUUUUCAAUGUAUACUCGUUUUACAAGAGGACACCGGAAGAAAUUACUUGCUUCAAAAAGAUAUUGGCUAAACAAGGUAGAUCGUUUGCCUUCGAAUCUCAUGAAAUUGGGUGUGUGGAUCCGAAUAUUAUAACACCUAUGGUUAUCUUCACUGUACCGCAUGUACCUUGGAAUCUAAGACCGAUUCCAGUACCGAGGGCACAUUUACCUAAAUUGGUUGAACUAUUAAAGGAAAAGAUAAAGAUGAAAAUAUUGGAACCUUCAUUUGCACCGUAUUCUAGUCGAUGGUUUACGGUACCUAAGAAGAAUGGGUCACUACGGUUUAUUCAAGAUAUGCAACCGGUGAAUGCAGUAACUGUCAAGAAUGCAGGAAUUGGACCUAUUGUAGAUGAAUUUACUGAGGCGUUUGCUGGAAGGGCGAUCUAUUCAAUAGGUGACUUGUAUUCAAGUUAUGAUCAAUUUCAACUUGCCGAAGGAAGUAGAGAUAUGACAACAAUGAGGACACCACUUGGAUUGGUUAGAAUGUGCACUCUUCCUCAAGGCGCAACCAAUUCAGUUGCGCAUAUGAUGAAUGGGAUGAAUAAGGUAUUGAGAGAUUUUAUUCCGGAAAAGACUAUGCCUUUUCUGGAUGAUGUUCCUAUAAAAGGGUGCAGAGAAGGAGACAAGGAUGAAACUUUAGAUACGAGGGGGUGUUGCAAAUAUGUUGUUGAUCAUAUACAAGAUUGUCAAAAGAUUUUAACUCGGCUUGGAAAAGUUCAUCUUACAUUAUCGAGUAUGAAGUCCGUAUUUGAAAUACGAGAGGUUGUAAUUAUUGGACAUUUAUAUGGAUCUUACGGAAGAAAACCAGAUCCGACUAAAGUUGAUGCAAUUGGAAGGAUGAAAGAGGAUUGUGAUUCUUUAACAGAGGUUUGUAGGUUUUUGGGUACAUGUGUAUUUUAUCGAAUCUGGAUCCCUCAUUUUGCUCACAUAGCGGAUCUAUUAUAUGAACUGUUAUGCAAGGGCUACCAAUUUAAAUGGGAAGAAAGGCAUAUUCAAACAAUACAAAGAUUGAAGAAAUUAUUGAUGUCACCUCCAAUAUUGAAGAAGGUUGAUUAUAAGUGCAAUAGACCAGUGAUUCUUACUGUGGACGCUAGUCCAAUUGCCAUUGGAUGGGCUAGGGGUCAAGAUGAUUUAAGUAGGAAUAGAUUUGCAGUUCGAUUUGGAGCUAAAGUUUUAAGUAUUCGUUAGCGUACAUAUUCGCAAGUCAAAAGAGAACUUUGGAGAGUUGUUUUGGCUAUGAAAGCUGAAAAGGACUAUUUGAUUGGGGCAGUAGUAGUAAUUGAAACAAAUUGCUUGCCAUUGCUUGGAAUGAUUAUUAACUGUUCAACGCCAGGUAUUGUAAUGUUGAGAUGGAUUGCUUAUAUUAAGUCACUAAAUCUAGAAUUUAAGCAUGUUACUGAGAAGGACAAUUUAGUAGUAGACAUGCUAUCUCAAACAAGAUACGAGAGGGAGGACGAAAUGGUUGAAGACAUUGAUGACGUCGGAUUGAAAUUCUAUUCAAUAUCAAAUCUCAACAGAGAAGACAAGCUAUUUCUUGAAGAAUCUUAUGAAGGAGAAUUAUUAGAUAUUGGUCAUUACUUGAAUACCUUGACUAAGCAGGGGAAUUGAUCUACAAAAAAAUUCAAACAAAUAAAAAAAAAAGCAUAUGGAUUUUUGCUUCGAGAUGGAUUCUCAUGGAAGAGACCGAAGAAAGGAAUUGAGAUGCCACAACGAGUGAUAGGCAAAAAGGAAGAAAAAUUAAAAUUAUUAAAGGAGUUUCAUGAUAGUUUAUGGGCAUGGCAUAGAGGAAUCUGGUCUACUUUUGCUAAACUCAAUGAACGAUAUUGGUGAAAAAAUAUGUAUCGAGAUGUACUCUCAUUUGUAGAGUCAUGUGAAAUCUGUCAAUCGUAUUCUAAUAUCUGACAUCGAGAUGGUCUUCAUCCUACGUAUCCUCUGACUAUUCAUUUUAAAUGGGUUGUUGAUUUGGUUAUUAUGCCAGUUGGGUUAUGGCAGAUGAGAUAUUUGGUUUUAGCUCGUGAAGAUUUAUCAAAUCAAGUAGAAGGAAGAGCAUUGAGGACAAAAUUUACAGAGGGGAUUUGGAGGUUUUUGCUUGAAGAUGUCAUUUGCCAUUACGGAUGCGUAGGAAAAAUCACUGCAGAUCGUGGAGAAUUAAAUGCAUAAGAAGCUUGUAAGUUCUUUGAAAGAUGUGGAGUUAAACUAUCACUGACUACUGCUUAUAAUCCGGAAGGGAAUGCAAAAAGCGAACACGGUCACCCACAGAUUGUGAAAGCAUUAGUUAAAGCUUGUAAUGGAAAAGUUAAAGAGUGGCCACGACUUUUGUCAUUUGCAUUACGGGCUGAUCGAACAACACAUAGUUUGGUGACAGGAUAUAUGCCAGUAGAACUUAUGAUAGGUCGAAAACCAAUUAUGCCGAUUGAAGAAAAGGUACUUACUUGGAGUAUGCUACCAUGGGAAGAUGGAUUGACAAGAGAAGAACUUCUGGCUGUUAGGAUUCGACAAUUGGAGCAAAGAUCGGAAGAUGUGCAAAUAGCAUUGGAAAGGUUAAAAAGAGCAAGGUUACAAAACAAGGCGCAAUUUGAUAAGCAACAUUGAUUGAGACCUAAAUCAAUCGAAGAAGGUGACUGGGUACUUGUUUAUGACAAUAGUCUGGAUUAUCAACAUAGUACUUUGCAAAAAUUUUAUAAAUGUUGGUUUGGACCAUAUGUAGUAACAACUGUUCAUGAUAAUGCGACUUACUCAUUACGGGAGUUAGAUGGUACAAAAUUGAAAAUACCAAUUACAGAGAAUUGAAUAAAAAUAUUUAAACGAAGACACGCGGAGAUGAAUAUGGAAGACCUUAAUGAAGGUAUAGAGAUUCCGUAGCAAGAAGAUGAAAGUGAUUUGGAUAAUGAAGGUGACGAAGAUGAACUGGACAAAGACGUAGAGAAUAUAUUCUAAAUCAAACAGUAAUUGGAUAAAUUGGUGCAUAUUGGAGGUUGCACAGGUUCAGAGGGGGUGGAUGUCGUGUUGUAACACGAGUAUACUGUGAAAUUAUAAAGAAAGAGGACUUUUAUUAAUGUUCAGUUACCUUGAAUAUUGGGAGCAACGAUCAAUUCCAGUGCAAAUACUGGGAGGCCAGGGUCAGUCACCCCGUUACAAUCAGCCGGGGCAUACUGAAAUGCUCCGUUCGAUUCCAAUAAUGGGAGUCAGCAAAAAAGAAAAACGACCAAUUCAAUGACGAAUGAGCCUGGUUCGAAGAGCCAAUUGGAUUCAAUUUCAAGACAUCCAAUCUAGGUCCUCUUAUCCAAUAUGAGACUUGAAUUGGUCGGGCAACCCAAUGUAGUCUAAUUAUGGGAAAAUCCAAGUCUUACUACGGGCCUCAGCCAAUCUAACGCGAAGGACGAAUUCGAUCCAAUUACGGGAACAUCUGGGUCUUACUACUGGACUCUUACUCAAUAUGUGACCUGAAUUGGUCGGGCGACUCAAUGUGAUCCCGAUUAUGGGGUUUUGAUUCUGUUUCAGGCUGUAUUGUUUUCUGUGUUGUUUUAAGGAAUGUAGUUUUCGGUAAAAAGAUCUCUUAAAGGUAAAAAUGGAGGAAAAAGCUCUGACGAGGGAGUGAAUUCCGGAUCCUGGCUCUGAAGGCGGGAGCCAAUUUCGGAUCGAAGAUGGAAGAUUGAAGAAAUUCAAAAUUAAGAUUAAGAAAUGAGAGGGGAGAUGGAAUAAGUUUUUUGGAAUUUUGAAGGAUCGGAGAGCUAGCUUCAUGCUUCGGGGCAGAAAAAAAAGACAGAGAGUUGGGUUUUUUUUCUUCAUAAGGUUUUGGGAAGACUGAGGCAAUCGUUGCUGAAGUCAGUGUUGUAAUAGUGAAUCGGGAUUUUUAAUGAAGUGGGUGUGAUUACUCUUGACUGUAUUGUGAAAUCCGAGUUACGUCUGUGAUUGGAGAAUUAAAAAGGUGUCUAUAGGAUUGAGUAUGUGGAGUGAAUGAAAUUUAUUAAAUUAAUCUAACAAGACAGUCAGUGGAUACAAGAUCGUGAGUAUAAAGCGGUAUCGGAGAUUAGUAGAUUGGAUUGUUCGGGAUUCUCUGUAAUGUCUAAAGACCUACCAAUUGGGGCAAAAAGGACUUCGACGAGCAGUCAAAAGGCAUCCGUAUAGAUUUACGGUAUAUUCUUGUAGUCGUUUAUAUUCCAACAGUCAAAAAUCGAUAGACUGCUUGAAUAUUGGUGAAUCUCUAUACUACCUUCUACAGCCAGACGCCCGAAUCGUUCUCGAGCAGGAAAGCACGUAAUACGACAGCGGAGUGAAUGAAAUUUACUGGAUUAAUCUAAGAAGACAAUCAGUGGAUACAAGAUCAUGAGUAUAAAGCGGUAUCGAAGAUUAGCAGUUUGGGUUGUUUGGGGUUCUCUGUAAUGUCUACAGACCUACCGGCUGGAACAAAAAGGAUUUGGGCGAGCAGUCGAAGGACAUCCGUAUAGAUUUAUGGUAUAUUCUUGUAGUUGUUUAUAUUCCAACAGUCAAAAACUGAUAGACUGCUUGAAUAUUGGCGAAUCUUCAUACUACCUUCUAUAGCCAGACGCUUGAAGCGUUCUCGAGCAGGAAAGCACGUAAUACGACAAUGGAUACAAUGGAGGACUUGGAUCUAAAGCAAUUACUACCUACGACAUUGGUCUUACGAAUGGCAGAUCGUAGUCAGGUAAAGCCAAUAGGAAUCUUACGCAAUAUUGCCACUGUAAUUGCGGGAUUGACAUACAAAAUUGAUUAUAUUGUAUUCUGAUUAUAGAGUUCUAUAUUAUCGUAUCCCAUUUUAUUGGGCAAACCUUGGCUUUAUCAAGCCAAAGCUAAGAACGAUUGGGGCCAAGGCACAUUGACAAUUAGAAAAGGUUGUAACCAGAUUGUUUUACAGAUGUAUCCGGUAUAAUAUCAUGGAGAAUCUCAAUUAUCAGAAUCAAAAUUUACAUUGAACAUCGAGACUCAAUUGAUUAAGGCGGAUGGCGUUGCUAUAGGUUCACAAUAAUUUGGGGUAGGAUAAAAUACUUUAAUAGCAAAGACAGGAGUCUACCAAUGUGGAGGUUUCGGCAAAUAUUUAUUGCAUCAGGAGAAUGUGACUAACUCGGAUCAUGCUAUUGCCGAAUGGAUGAAUAAUUCCACAGUCAAUAGAGUGAGCACAUUGGAACUAGAUUUGGGUGGUUCCCAUAUGUCAAAUAAUAGAAGAUAUUCAGUUGAUGUGUGUGAGUACCAGAUUAUUUUGGAGCAGGAUGUUAUGCCAGUUCGUCAAAGAAAACACUGGCUUAACCCAAAAUAUUUCCUUUUAGUGAAAGAAGAAUUGGAUAAACUUCUUGACGUGGAUUUUAUUUAUCCAAUACCAAAUAGUGAGUGGGUUUUUUCAAUCAUGAUGGUGCCAAAGAAAAUGAGAAAAUAUAAAUUUAUCAGGAUUUCUCGAAACUUAAUACAGCCACCAAGAAAGAUUACUUCCCAAUACCUUUCACAGACAAUAGGAGUAACAUGUUGUCAUUAUCACCAAGUAGUAAAAGAAUAAGAGUGGGGCACCAGUUAAAGUCAUUCUGUGGUGUUGUUUUGGAUUGGCUAGAGUGCCAUUUUCUUAUAUUUCUUGUCUUUUUGAGAGUAGUGGUUUCAGUUAAGAGCUAAUAGUGAAGAUCUGGUCACAAGUAUCAAUUGAAGAUGUUCUAGAAUGGAUGAGUCAGCAGAAGCAACAAUUGGAACUUUGGAAUGUCCAGAUCUUGAAAUUGGAAGCUCAAGUCUAUGUACUGGGUGAGUAUAAUGAAGAUCUGUCAAACCAGUUGAGGCAAGAGUCGAUGGAAGGAUUGGAAGAGGACGAGAUUUGUAGUUGGAACUGGAAUUGGUGGAACCAAUAACAGAUAUUGCGGCAAUUGAUUAAUUAGAUAGGCCAGAGGAACUAGUAAUUUUUGUAGAAUUUUAUUAGAUAAUUUUUAGAUAGGUAUCAAUUGAGUAUUUGAGAGGACGUUGCAUAGUUAGGAGUGGGGCUAUGUAGAAUAAGUAGUUAUUUUCAAAAUGUAGAUAUCUAGUGUAUAGUAUAAAUAGAGAUAGAUAACUGCUGAAAAAGUGGUUCAGUAGGUAGAAUAGAUGAAUAGUCAAGAAAAGUAGUUAUCAUCUGUAGUAUAGGAGUUGAUAUCUCAGGGUAGUAUAAGGAGGAUGGGAGAGGGGAAGAAAAUACCAGACUGUGAGAGCUAUAAGCCAAGGGCUAGAAUGCAAUAGUACUGAGCCAAAGAUAAGCUUGGUGCUAUUUCUUCUUCUUAGUUUUCUUAUUUCUUUUGUAUUAAUAUUGAUUCUAGUGAAGAGAAUCGAUUUAAUGAAUUAAUGUUUGAUUUACAAAGUUGUUUAUGGAUUACUAUUUAUCAAUUGUUGUGAAAGAUUGAAGACGUAUGGAAGUUUUCAGUCAUUGUUUAUCGCAAGGUUGUAAGUUUAGUGGAGAAGAAUUAUAAUCGAAGGAAUUGUCUUGAUGAGAUUUUGUGGAUUGGAAGUUGUUCGUUCUAGGGUUUGGGAUAUGCUUGUGUGUUCGUGAAUUAUACAGGGUACUAAAAUCGUUGUUGUGGAUGUUAUUAUAUUGAUAUGAAAGAGUGGACAGUAGGAAGAAAAGUUAAGUGUUCUUUAGUAUGGUAAGCAUUCAGUAGUAGAGGUUAAUUACAUGACCCUAACAAUUGGAGCUCAUAUACAUGGUCUUUUCUUGUGUUUGAAUCCCCCUAUACGGGUUUAUUCUGGGAGGUUUCUUCGGGAAUAAGUAAUACGAGCAAUCACAGUUUGAUUUGAGUUAGGAUUUGGUUAGGAUUUGAUUUAGGAUUUAGAAUUUAUUAAGGUUAGGAUAUGGUUUAGGAUUUAUUAAGGUUAGGGUAUGAUUUAGGAUUUAGUUUAGGAUUUAGGAUUUAGGAUUUGGUUUAGGAUUUGAUUUAGGGUUUAGAAUUUGGAUUAGGAUUUGGAUUAGAAUUUGAAUUAGGAUUUGGGUUAGGAUUUAGGAUUUGGUUUAGGAUUUGAUUAGGGAUUGGUUUAAGAUUCAGGAUUUGAUUAAGGUUUGAUUAGGAUUUAGUUUAGGAUUUAGGAUUUAUCUAGGAUUUGAUUAAGGUUUGAUUAUGAUUUGGUUUAGGAUUUAGGAUUUAUCUAGAAUUUGAUUAAAGUUGGAUUAGGAUUAAGAGUUGGUUAGAAUUUAAGGUUUUAUUAGGUUUUUGUUUGGAUUUGACUAAGUUUUCUUUGAUAUUCUUUUAUAUUUCUUUAGGAUUUCUUUGUGUUUUUUUUAUAACUUCAAUAAAAUUUAAUUGAGCUUUCUUAAUAUUUGAUUAUGAUUAUUAAUAUUUAAUUAUAAAUACUCUAUAAUCCUAUUGGAUUGUUAGGAUAUUUUGUUGCAAUUUUCUUUUAUCUUCCACAGUCAGGUACUCGAGUAUUUUCAAGCAAGACUUCACGUAAUACAAAAACGGAGGGUACUUGAUUCAAUGAUGUCGGUAG